This 382-nucleotide ribosomal RNA is filed under the name uncultured eukaryote. RNAcentral's name for it is "partial 18S ribosomal RNA". It matches the Rfam family "Eukaryotic small subunit ribosomal RNA", at positions 592 to 976 of the family's 1831-position model. The record is from RNAcentral.
UGUAAGCGUAUACCAAAGUUGUUGCAGUUAAAACGCUCGUAGUCGGAAUUUGGCAGUUCCGGAUGUGUGCACGUCGUGUGCGCACUUCGCGGGGAUUGCUUUUGUGGUCUUGCGUAGGAUGAGGCACUUUUAUUAGUGAACGUCCUCACGCAACCACUUUUUACUGUGAGAAAAUCAGAGUGCUCAAAGCAGGCAUUUGCCGUGAAUGUAUUAGCAUGGAAUAAUAGAAUAGGACUUGGUUCUAUUUUGUUGGUUUGUUGGGACUGAGUAAUGAUUAAGAGGGACAGUUGGGGGCAUUAGUAUUUCGGUGCUAGAGGUGAAAUUCUUAGAUUACCGAAAGACAAACUGCUGCGAAAGCGUCUGCCAAGGAUGUUUUCAUUGA